This 63-nucleotide transfer RNA is filed under the name Pealius machili. RNAcentral describes it as "tRNA-Glu". The record is from RNAcentral. Lineage: Eukaryota; Metazoa; Arthropoda; Insecta; Hemiptera; Aleyrodidae.
GUUUUUGUAGUUUACGUAGAACGUUAUAUUUUCAUUAUAGAGGAAACUAAAUAUUUAAAAACU